GGAGGACUAGCUGGCCGAGUAUUU
This 24-nucleotide non-coding RNA is filed under the name Drosophila melanogaster (fruit fly). The record is from RNAcentral. Lineage: Eukaryota; Metazoa; Arthropoda; Insecta; Diptera; Drosophilidae.